UUAACUUAAUAGGUAGGGUGCGCCAGGCCUAUGCAAUAGUGCAAGACAUAGGCGACGCCCGAGAGUCCCACUAGCAAGCUAGUGUUUUGGACCCUCCCCUUUAAAAAAUUAAUUUAAUAUCGUGUGAGUCAAUGACUCACAUAUCAGAUAUUAAACUGAUAAGAACAGAUACUACACUUGAUCUUAGCCAAAAGGCCGAGAAAGAUUCUGCAUAUUUUAUUUUGUAAAUGAAAGGAAAACCGUGAGAAGAUGAAGACAAUGACGCAAGAGUUUAACACUAAUAACAUGAAAAAGGUACGUCUAAGGCACAAAUGUGGGACCAAGUAGUCUCCUAGACUCCUAGUCGUAUCACGGGGGAUUUAGAGUGAGAUUUAUGAUGGAACAAAGAUGCAUUGUACCAUGUAAUAUACAAAGCUGUAAGGAGGCAUCUGAUAUUGAUUAAUGUAUUUAGUACUGCGUAAUAUACAAAGAUGCAAGCACAAACUAUAUUGUUAUUUAUGCAACAAAUCCCUUUUUAUGAGCAAAUGUUGUAAUCGCGGCAAUCCAUAAUGAAACUGCCAUUAUGUGAGGUUUUGUGGCCAAGAAAAGGUGAACUAAUACUGGGUUAUAACUUAUAAAUUGAUAAACAUGUUACCACCUUGAGUAACAAAUGUAGCAGCAAGGGUUACCAAUUGUUUUGUUUUUUUCUUGACAACAACCACAAGGGUUACCAAUUGUUUAGAGGUGGGUUAUUUGGAUACAGUUUAGUUGAUUUGACAAGCGAUUCAGUCUGAUUUUUAAUGCAACGAGUGACUCAAUGGAAUUGGAUACAUUUUGUUAGCAGCAAGAGUAUUAUGACCAUAAUUGAAGGGUGGGCACUGAAAUAACCAAAUAUUAGCAACAACUAACCAAUUUCUUGUUGAACAUAUUACUUGCAGUUUAGGGCCCAAUGCU
This is a non-coding RNA of Cajanus cajan (pigeon pea), 933 nucleotides long. The record is from RefSeq and is a predicted model, not a curated record. NCBI's taxonomy places the organism in Eukaryota, Viridiplantae, Streptophyta, Magnoliopsida, Fabales, Fabaceae.